RNAcentral lists this ribosomal RNA (213 nucleotides) under Triticum aestivum (bread wheat). RNAcentral's name for it is "partial small subunit ribosomal RNA". Lineage: Eukaryota; Viridiplantae; Streptophyta; Magnoliopsida; Poales; Poaceae. The record is from RNAcentral.
AUGUGUACUCGUAAGUAUGAGGGUGGCCUAGGCUUCCGGGAUCCGGAGGCUUUCAACCAAGCAAUGCUAGCCAAGGCAGCUUGGCGACUGCUACGGGUGCCAGACUCGUUGCGUGGAAGGGUACUGAAGGCACGACACUUCCCGGAUGGAUCAAUUCUGAAUGCUACAUGCCCCACUGGGGGUUCGUACACCUUCCGAAGCAUAUUGCAUGGC